GACGAACGCUGGCGGCGUGCUUAACACAUGCCAGUCGAACGGAAAGGCCCUGCUUUUGUGGGGUGCUCGAGUGGCGAACGGGUGAGUAACACGUGAGUAACCUGCCCUUGACUUUGGGAUAACUUCAGGAAACUGGGGCUAAUACCGGAUAGGAGCUCCUGCUGCAUGGUGGGGGUUGGAAAGUUUCGGCGGUUGGGGAUGGACUCGCGGCUUAUCAGCUUGUUGGUGGGGUAGUGGCUUACCAAGGCUUUGACGGGUAGCCGGCCUGAGAGGGUGACCGGCCACAUUGGGCCUGAGGUACGGCCCAGACUCCUACGGGAGGCAGCAGUGGGGAAUAUUGCACAAUGGGCGGAAGCCUGAUGCAGCAACGCCGCGUGCGGGAUGACGGCCUUCGGGUUGUAAACCGCUUUCGCCUGCGACGAAGCGUGAGUGACGGUAAUGGGUAAAGAAGCACCGGCUAACUACGUG
RNAcentral lists this ribosomal RNA (468 nucleotides) under uncultured bacterium. RNAcentral describes it as "partial 16S ribosomal RNA". It matches the Rfam family "Bacterial small subunit ribosomal RNA", at positions 28 to 507 of the family's 1533-position model. The record is from RNAcentral.